CAGUAAAUAGUUUAAAAAAAAUAUUAAUUUUGGAGAUUAAUGAUAGGUAUAUGCUUUUUACUGA
Molecule: transfer RNA, 64 nt
Filed under: Macroscytus subaeneus
Lineage: Eukaryota; Metazoa; Arthropoda; Insecta; Hemiptera; Cydnidae
Description: tRNA-Pro
Source: RNAcentral